This 450-nucleotide ribosomal RNA is filed under the name uncultured bacterium. RNAcentral describes it as "bacterial SSU rRNA". It matches the Rfam family "Bacterial small subunit ribosomal RNA", at positions 329 to 794 of the family's 1533-position model. The record is from RNAcentral.
GUCCAGACUCCUACGGGAGGCAGCAGUGGGGAAUAUUGGGCAAUGGGCGCAAGCCUGACCCAGCAACGCCGCGUGAAGGAAGAAGGCUUUCGGGUUGUAAACUUCUUUUAAGGGGGAAGAGGAGAAGACGGUACCCCUUGAAUAAGCCACGGCUAACUACGUGCCAGCAGCCGCGGUAAUACGUAGGUGGCAAGCGUUGUCCGGAUUUACUGGGUGUAAAGGGCGUGCAGCCGGGAGGACAAGUCAGAUGUGAAAUCCCGCGGCUCAACCGCGGAACUGCAUUUGAAACUGUUUCCCUUGAGUAUCGGAGAGGUCAUCGGAAUUCCUAGUGUAGCGGUGAAAUGCGUAGAUAUUAGGAAGAACACCAGUGGCGAAGGCGGAUGACUGGACGACAACUGACGGUGAGGCGCGAAAGCGUGGGGAGCAAACAGGAUUAGAUACCCGUGUAUC